Long non-coding RNA from Cucumis melo (muskmelon), 1153 nucleotides. RefSeq lists it as uncharacterized. The transcript is spliced from 4 exons. The record is from RefSeq and is a predicted model, not a curated record. NCBI's taxonomy places the organism in Eukaryota, Viridiplantae, Streptophyta, Magnoliopsida, Cucurbitales, Cucurbitaceae.
UAUUAAAAACAAAAUUCCGCUUUCCCACCAUUUUUCCUUUCUUCUUCCCUUCUCCACAAAGACUCCAAACUUUAUCACUCCCUCGUUCAUCUCUUUCUCCCUCGCGCGUAACUCUUUCACUCACGAAAUCACUAGCUUUGCCCUUGUAAAGGAUACCGUUGCAUGUCUGCAUUGUCCUCUAAGCCUGGGUAAGCACAGGUGAGCGUCUCCAUCUUUCUCUCUUUUAAGUGUGAGAUUCCUUUAACAGCCGUUCACGCACAUGGCCCUCUAACCUUGACAACUAUGGUCGAGCAGCUCAUCGACGAUCAGGUCUCCAAGUUCAAGGAGGCCUUUAACCUCUUCGACAAGGAUGACGAUGAUAUAUUUUCUCAAAUCUCCUGAUGAGGAAAAGAGCUAGUUAAAGAAAGGAACUUUUAAAAUAAAAGAAAAAGAAGGGAUGUUUGCUGUCUUUAUGAAAUUUCUCUACACACACAGCUUGUAUCCAGAAAGAUUAGAAGAAGGGAAGAGGGAAAUAGAAGUAAGUAGUUCAACUAUUAUUAAACUUCAUUUGGAUACACAACCUAGACACUACUUGGAAGGAAGAUUCGUCCAAAAUAAUGAACAUCUAAGAAUGCUCUAAAUGAAGUAAUUCAACCAAGUGCAAAGUGUAGUUGAAUCGUAAUAAGUGACAAUUGAACAAUCCUAAAAAGGUUGACAAGUCAAGAAGCUAUAUCUAACAUGGAACGGAGCUCAUAACAAUCUAAUGACAAUCACAGGUAAUUUUUACAACUGAGGUAGGUGUUAUGUUUGAAACUCUAGUUUGAUAUAAAGUGUUGGAUUAGAUUAGUAUAUACAAACAUAGAUCUUGCUUGUUGAUGAAUUCCUUUGAAUUUCAUAUAUCUAUAAAGGUUUUCGUGUGUUUGACCCCCUCCUUAUUGUGUGUGUUGCAUGCUUAUUUAUUUUAGUUUCGUUCGAGAGUUCUAAAUGUGAUUCAUAUGGCAUUGUAUUUAUGGCUUUAUGCUUAUCUUACAAAGGCUAGCAAUUCAAGAAGAUACCUCUAACAUAAAAAGUUCAUAACAAUCUAACAAUAGUUAACAAGUAAUAUUUAUUUGAAAAUCUUCUUACAACUCUAGUUUGUUGAAGCUAUUGGAUUUGAUUGGUAUAUGUGUGUUGA